CCUACGGGAGGCAGCAGUAGGGAAUAUUGCUCAAUGGUCGGGAGACUGAACCAGCCAAGCCGCGUGAGGGAGGAAGGUACAGAGUAUCGUAAACCUCUUUUGUCAGGGAACAAAGACUGGGACGCGUCCCCGGAUGAGUGUACCUGAAGAAAAAGCAUCGGCUAACUCCGUGCCAGCAGCCGCGGUAAUACGGAGGAUGCGAGCGUUAUCCGGAUUUAUUGGGUUAAAGGGGUGCGCAGGCGGUCUGUUAAGUCAGCGGUAAAAGCCCGGGGCUCAACCCCGGCCCGCCGUUGAAACUGGCAGUCUCGAGUUGGAGAGAAGUAUGCGGAAUGCGCGGUGUAGCGGUGAAAUGCAUAGAUAUCGCGCAGAACUCCGAUUGCGAAGGCAGCAUGCCGGCUCCACACUGACGCUGAGGCACGAAAGCGUGGGUAUCGAACAGGAUUAGAUACCCCUGUAGUC
This 459-nucleotide ribosomal RNA is filed under the name uncultured bacterium. RNAcentral describes it as "partial 16S ribosomal RNA". It matches the Rfam family "Bacterial small subunit ribosomal RNA", at positions 338 to 795 of the family's 1533-position model. The record is from RNAcentral.